ACUGUUGAAUCACGGCCUGAACCGCUGAUUGAUCACCUGAGGAAAGGACUGAGUCAGCCAUGGGACUCCACCUCUCAGACGCCAUUUAAGGUCUGACUGCUGCAGGGGAAGGAUCUCCUUCUGGAGAUCCCUCCUCUGUGUAAUCUUUUUUGGGAACCUAGAUCUUUGGAUACAGAAAGUGAUUCUGAAAAAUUGCUUCCUUAUUAGUUUCUUAAGCCAACACUGGAUCUUUAGUGCUAUGCAUUGAACAAAAUAUCUGCUCUCUAGGGACUUUGACAUCCUUGCAUAUAAUGCAAUGUGCUAUGAAGAGAGGACAUCCAGACCAACAUCAUGAUCUCAGGGAGUAAGGACACUUGAUCUGGCUGGAUGACAAAUCUUGGCUGCUGAUCAUGCCUUUAUGCACAAUGCAUUGGGCUCAACAGUCUGCUCACCGUGGAUGUGUUCUCAAAGGGCUACUUUCAAUAAUUACUUCUUUCUUAUCUAGAUGAUAGGCAUAAGUAACACAUAAUUAUCCAUUACUAUCACUAAACAUUCUAUGAACAUAUAAAAUCAUUAACAUUUCAUCUAUUUGUCACUUUUUAAAAUUUCUUUUUGCCACAUAAACUAUGAGACCAGGGUAGAUAUAGCUCAGAGCUCUUGUUCCUCAAAAGAGUUAUCCGGAAGAUUUGGGUGAUCUGAAAGCAUAUGUAACAACAUGAUUGUCUUCCUUUUAGAAAAAUGAGCUAAAUGCUAAAUAAUACUAAAUAAACUGGAAAAUCAAGAAACUAAUGAUGUUAUUUUAUUUUAUUUUUUUCUGUGGAGGUAGCAUAGUAAAGUCUGAGUUAAUCGAAAACAUUUAUUUUUAGCAUUGCACAAGCACCUAUCAGUGUAUCAAAAUAAAUAAAUAAUUCGAUUUUCUGUAUUACUUGAGCUGAAAUUUUAAUUCUCUCCAAAAGUUCUUAAUUGGCAAGUUUUUUUUCUGAUCUGGAAUGACUACGUAGCAGUCUUUUUUCCUUGUUUAGUUUAACCAAAUUAAUGCCAUAUUAGUAUCCAAAUAAAAUAAUGUCUAUCAGAUACAUAACUUUCACUUUACCAAAGGAUCUGUUUUGUUUUUUACUCAUCUUUUUCAUACCAGCAAUUUACAUCUAUGCAGUCCAGGAAUGCCCUAAGCAAACCUGCCCCAUCCUUAAACUGCAGAUACCAUGUCAAAGCUUUGGACAUCGAGACCUGAAUCUCAUCUUUCAGAUGCAAGCCAACAUAUAAACUAGUAUCAAGCAUCACUUUCCAGUCUGUAAAUAACAAGAAUAUCUGUAAGGAAAGAACUCCUAUAAAGGAAAGACACUUUGAUUCCUUGCCUUUAUCGCCUGAGUCUUUUCAGAUGAAGCUAGUAUAGAGGAACAAUAGGAAAAAAUCAUGUUUCAUAGGAGAACCCAGUGAAUUCAAAUUCAAAUAUCUCAAGUAAAAAGAAUUCAGACUUUAAGAUAAUCCAUCUUUUUUUUUCUUUCCCCUGCGGUGAGAGGAAAAUUGAAGAUUAAAAUUAGCUUGGGUUAUAAAAUUAUGUAAGGUAUGUGCAAGUUUGUUGGACUUUGAUCCACAGUGAAUAUAUCUGAUAUAGAUCUUUUGCUUUGGUUAAUGGAAGGAAGACGACAGCUUAAGUCUGUCCAUGAUCAAAAGUCCUGCACAAGAAAGAUAAUACCAGGGAAUAUUAUUCCUCAAUACCACCUCAAUCAGAUUGCCAAAACUUCUGUUUGAAAGAAGAAAUUACAAAACCAAAUAUAUCAGCCAAAUUUGACCACGUAUUUUAAGCCCCAAAGAAACGAUAUGAGCAUCCAUAUGAUGAUCAACAAUUUCAAAAAUAACUGAGUCAAAUUCUUUAUCUUGGUGCAAUCAUAGAUGCUUGCAUGAUGUUAAAAAUAAAGGCUGUUUUGCACUAACUCAGUCUUUUCUAUGCUAACUCCACAGGAAAAAAAAAAAAAAAUCAUUAGAUUCUUGACUUGCCAGAUUAUUUAGUAACCUUUCCAGUAAAUUUAUUCAAUCCUCUAGCAGAAACAAUAGUUCAAAUUCAGUUCUAUUACUUCUAAAUGAGAAGCCUGUGUUCCCACAAAACUGGUGCAUUUCUAAUUGCACUUCUAUGCUUAAGUUUGGCUUUCAUCAUAGCAAAUUACUUUUGCCAUUGCUGCUACAAAUAUCAGAGCAGAAAGCCCUAGUUAAAAGGGCAAAAUGAAGAAUCUCAUUGGAGCAAUGUCUAGACAAGUUUGAUAACAUAAAUACUUGAAUGUGUCAUGAUUUAAAGCAUUGUAAAAUACAAUGAUGCUAUUUAUCAUUCCUUUUCAGACUGAGAAAUCCUAUUUAAUGAAAUAUAGAUCCUAUUGUACUGGACUUCACUGUUUUUGAUUCUAACUUCUAUUGCCAUGUUUUAUUUUGCAUCUUGGCUUUUGAAAAUGUUCUUUAUAGGUACUACAUUUAUUACUGGGAGCAUUUACAGAAAAUUAUAAAGCUUUUUAAUAAAUGAACUGUAUUUAAAAGUGGUGAAGUAUGAGAACUUUCAAAAUGAUUUUCAGGAAAACAAUCUAGAUAAAAGGAACAGAAAACACUCCUUUGCGUUCAGGUGUCACUGAAUAACAUAAAAUUACAUUGGUAUGCUCAUGACUUGUUGGUAUUUCUUAAUUAAAUACAAUGAUGUUAGCUGCCUCAGAACAACAGAAUAAAACCCUAAGAAUAAAAAUUUAUUGCAGUGGAGUAUUACAAAGCUUAGUAAGUGUCAUUGUUGAUUAUUUCUGUCAUCAGGACAGAGAAUUUUGGAGACAAUGGAGGAGGUUACACUUGUUUUCUCAGUUUAAGAACUGGAUUAAUGUGCUAAAGGUGCUCUUGUGUUUAGAAUUUCACAUGCUGUGUAUCAAAAUGAAGUCAAAGCAUUUUGAAUAUUUUAGUGUAUAUGACUGUUAGAACAAAUGCUUGCUGUGAUACACUAAGCCAAAAAAAAAAAAAAAAAAUCAGAGACAGAAAGAUACAUUUUCUUCUGAGUUACCUUACAAAGGGGAUCACAACUGCUAAUAAAGGCAAAUCGCAGUAUUCAAUAGCCUGCUGCCUUCCUAAAGCACUAAACCUUUAAGUAGCAUAAGUCAACCUUUACGACUCCUAUAAAGUAAUCUUGUAGGUUACUAUUAUUAGUGCUCAAGGCAGAAGAAUCUAUAACACAAGAACAUGCUGUAAAUUUUGAAAAAAUAGAUGGGCUGGAAUAGUUUUUUGUUGUUUCCUGAACUGUGACGCUUAAAUUUCUUGCUCAAUACAAUGCUCAUUUAGCAAAUCAUUUAAUAUCAUAACAAAAUAACAUUAUAGUCUGAUAAUUUUGAAAUUUAUUAUUUAAUGCUGAAAGAUUAAUGUGAUCCACUUUACUUGGGUUUAACGAUUCAGACAAAAAUUCUAUUUCCUAGGCUUCAAUUCUUGCCCCUAUAAGCAUAUUUUGAUUCUCUAAAGGCAGUUUUAUGAUGUAUUUAAAUCUUUUCACUCAAAAGUAUUUUUUAAAAAAGCAAGUAGUAAUAAAAAUCCUCUACAAAGAAAUAUAAUGUGGGAAGAUUAUUGGCAGUUUUUAAAGUAUCAAGUAUAUGAAUAAUUCGUACAUAUUACACAUUUUCUGACAGGAACAGAGUUUAUUUUGCAUUUCUUCCCCUGUUUAAAUGGAAGCUUCACAUGACACUAUUCAUAAUAGUAUAAAUAUUUAUCUUUGAAUUCUAUUUAAGUGCCUAUAUUUAUGUAUAUAUAUAUACAUACGCACAUAUAUUUUAAAACUCAUUUUCUGUGUUGCCUCUAGAGAACUAAUCUUCAGUGGUUUAUCCAAAUUCAACUUUUGACAGUAGCAACUUGAACACUUUUUCUGCUCUUUCCAAGGCUGCCAAACAGCAUCUUUGCUUUACCCUAAAUCCUGCCCUCCUUCUAAUGAACAUCACUUAUAAAAUAAAUUUACUUAAGAACAGCAUCCCCUGAUUGCACUAGAGGUAAUAUAAACACAUCAGUUACUGCUUGCUUUUUUUUUCUAGGACAGUGGAAAAGGAUGAAAUUUCCCAUAGGGGAAUUAAAAGAAAUGAUACCUAUCUGGAGGCUUGACACUAUCUAGCAAGACUCUCAUUGAUAAUGAACAAUAAUCUGCAAUGCAUUUCUAAAGCUUCAACGAAUACUUGCAUGAGUGAAAUUCUGUUCCUUACAGGAACUUUGCAAGUACAUUGAUUGUUUAAACGUACCACUGGGAAAAUAAUCUGUUUCACUAGAGUAUUCUGCUUUUUUAAAAAAAUCAUGUUUUUUUUUUUUUUAGUGAUACUUCACCAGGAAAUGGAGAGUCUGCUCUGGAGCUUUGUUACAGAGGUUGCUUAGGAAAAGCUGGCAGGUGGCAGCACAAGGACAGUCUGGUCAAAUGGCAUAUGACUUGGAAACGUGGAUGAAGCAAAGGGGUAGAACUGAAUUCCUCCAUGCAGAAAAAAUGGAACCCGGUGACAUUCACUGAUGCUUACUGAACAUUUAUGGAGAUCAAACAGUGGAUGAGACGACAGUGCAAUGACACUUGGGUGCAUUUCAGCAGUAGUGACAGGGAUGGUAUGUCACUUCUGCUAGUUCAGAUUUUUAUGAACGUAACAUGCAGGCUCUUGUUCAAUACUGGUGAAAAUGCAUUGCUAAUGGUUGUGGCUUUGUUGAAAAAUAGUGUUUUGUAGCUGAGAAUUUGCUUUAUCAAAUAGCAUUAUUGUGUUCUAUGUAUCUGCUGUAAAUAGGAAUAAAUAGGAGGCAUUACUUUCAGAGCAACCUAUGUGCAAUAGAGCAGACAAUUUGAGAGGUGACAGAAAAGGCUGGCAGGAGGGAUGCAUGUUUUGACUACAAUGUAACUACGCUUUAAACAAAGGCACAAUGGUUAGAUGUAGAUGUAUCCUAGCCUGUGCUGUUUAAAACACAGCAAGAAUAUUGACUUGUACUAUAGACUCACACGUUUUUCUGUCUAGAAGAUUCUGAUUAUUUAAUACAUGCUACAUAAGAAGGGGGAGGAAACAAAGUAUUUUAUGAGAUGUAAAUGUGAAGCCUGUAUAUGUUGCUUACAUGUGAUUAUGUGCAUUUAAAAUACUCAGAGAAAUCAGGAGUUUUUGUCCUCCUUCAGCUCUCCAUCUCAACUCCAGAAAGAAAACCAACAAUGAGAUAAUUCAUAGAUAGGAGAUUAUUCAGUCAACAUUAGCAAGUCAUGUUAAGUUCAUUUGUCUGCGUUUUUGAGCAACUGGAGUUCACAUCUCAAUUUUUUUUCUACAGCUACUAAGCUAAAAACUGAUAUACAACUGAGAUGUUUAUGUAUUUUACUCCCAAAUUAAUUUCUAGCUACAGUAAAAAUGACGAAAAUCUCAAUAAAACUUCAGAAAUGUGGGCGACCACACAGAUUUGAAGAAAGACUCUGAGUUUUCAGCCCCUUAUUUCAGGCCUGUAUUUACUCUGAGUGGAGAAGAGGAGGAACAGGCCAGGCAGUUCUCUGGAUCCAGGUGCCCAGUGUGUGCUCAGGCCAUCCAACAUGUUCAGCUUUACCUCAGGACUGGAGAUAUUCUCAUCUCUCAUCAAUGGAGAGUGUAUGAAGUGAGCUGGACACCUGUAUAGUUCAGUUGCAUGUUGAUCUCAUGCAUGUUGCAAUUAGAAUUUUUGGUAGUGUCACAGUGAAGGCAGAUGAGGAGGAGAGUUCUUACCCUUCCAAAGCAGUUUCAGUAGGAUUGUGUAUUUUCUAAACCAGUAAAGGACAGAUAGAUAUUGAUAAAAAUAUUGCAUUCUUAUUGCACACAAAAAAGCUUACAGUUUGUGGAGUAAAUGUUGAGAAAGAUUAAGAAAAAUCUCAUGAAUCCCUAAAAAUGAGAAAGGCUUUAUGUGACAAAUCAUAACAGAAAGAGGCAGAACCACUGCCAAAUAUCACAGGAAAAUAGCCUCAUUUGAAUAUAUCAGUUUGUAUUUGUGAAUAUGGGAUGUACAUGUUCUUAUGAGAAAUAUAGAUAAGAGGUGACAAAAUGUCCAGAACAAGAUCAGGCCAUCUGGACCCUGGUGUGUUUAGUGUCAGCAUUUAAUUCUGUGAGUGGCUUACUGGCUCAGAUUGGAGGACCUAUUUAAAGAGUGCUGGACAUCCAGUGAAAGAGCAUUCAUUUUUGUUUUGCUUGCAGUUAUAAAAGCUCAAGGGAGACACAUUUCUCUGCAGUAUCUUCCAGGAAAAGUUUUGCUAGAGCAAAAAACCAAAGAGUGUAUAAAUCAGAUGUGUUUCUUCCUCAUGCUUUUCUUUCCCACUGGCUCAAGUGAUGUUGAGAGGAAUAGCUUUGUAGCUUUUUUAGUUUCGGGUGCCUGGAGUGCUUCUCAGAAGUUUUAGAACAACAUAAAUUAAUUAAAUAAUAAUAAUAAUAAUAAUAAUAAUAAUAAUAAUAAUAAUAAUAAUAAUGGUUUGUUAGGAAACCAUUUAAGAACUAGACGUCUAGUUCUCAAGUGACUACUUGAAUGUUAGUCCAUAGCUGCCUACAAAGAUCUCCCUAAAAACAGUCAGUAUAUUCUGACAGAAACUUCCAAAUUCUGUCUAAACUUCAGAAAGUUUCAUGUGAUAUGCAAAUGGGUUGUAGGAGUAAUUAACCUUGGUUAUAGUUUAUAAACUAUAAUUUAUAGUUUAGACUCCAUGGGAUUGAGGGGAAGUGGGAAAAGAAGAUAAUAACUAGUAGUGUGUAAUGGAUAUUCAAAUCAUUUGUAUUACUUGGUUAAUAAUCAAAGAGACAUAAGUUAAAAAUAUGCAUUAAUUUGUUAAUUCUAAAUGGAAAGAUUGAUCUAGUAGGCAAAAAAUAAUGUUAUGCUUUCUGCAGAAUCUCAAAAAAUAAUCCAUGGUUCUUUGACUAAUUAUCCAUUUGGGAACAUUACCCUGGAUUUUUAUUGUUGUAGAUAAUUAGUUGUCUUUUAUCUCUUGCACAUGGAUAGCACAUGCUUUUACCAAUGUUAAAUGAUCCCUAGAGAAUGCUAAAUACCUAAAUUAUUAGUUCCUGUAAAAAAAAAACAAAAACAAAAACAAAACAUAGUCAACAUUUUUAUUCAAGUAUUGUGCUGCUGGUCUGGGAUUUUUUUAAGGAUGAGAUAUGACACUGCUUUUAAUUGUGCAGUAUAUGUAUACCAUGAAUACAAACUAAUAAAAUACAUGUGGCACAUUUUCUUUAAGAUUUUAUAGAUUUGUAAUUAUUAUCUCGAGGUCCAUGAGACUCGGAGAUCAGACAAAAAGUACUUUUUAUGUUCGUUUUUGCUUUUUAUUUUCUUUUUAAUUGUUGAAGUAUUCUUUUAUGGUAAAGAUAGGUUUGAGUGUUAGUUCAAUUUCCAAGAUUGCUGUGAGGUUCUUGUCAGACUUUGUGUGAUGCAUAGCUUAUAUUUUCCUAGAUUCAAUCCUGAAAAAGAAGAGACAGAAGACAGCAUUUUUCUAAUUUCCUGCAGCCGUUUGAAGCUGUAUUUCGCUUAUGUUAUAUAUCUGGAGAAUUUUGGUUUUGAAGACCUAUUGCGAUAUUGUUGACCAAACCUGUGGAGAAAUUGAAGUGCAAGCAUGAAAAGACAAAUGGCAGGCAAAGGAAAUUAUAAAUAAUAGGAGUAGUAAAAGAAAUAACAAAGAAAAUAAAGAUGAAAGAAAAUUAAUUAAAAAUGAAAGAAAGAAAAAAAAAGACAAAAAAUAGCAUUUUAUUCAUUAUUUGUCAUUUUAAUUUAUUCAUAUUAAUUGCUAUUUCCUGAGUACACAUGAGAGUUGACCUAAAGGUGUUAGCAGUUUUGAAGUAACAGCGAGAUUUUUUUCAGGCUGGCUACGGUAUUGGAAGGAAAGCCAUUCCUGUUUCAGUUUUGCACUACGACUGCAGUGCUUUGUUGCUAUUACUGCUUUCAUGUUCUCUGCCCUGCUGGAGCCCUUGAUCAGCACCUUGUGUUGGAUCUUUACCUUGAUCAUGAGAUCACUGCAGCAUACUUGGAGAAGAGUAAAAACAGCAUGAAGGCUGAUUUAUUUAUUUCUUUAUUAUGUUGUUUGUUUCGUUUUGCUUCUCUCUUCCUGUAAUUUCUUGAUGCAGAACUCUUACUUUGCCUGGGAUUACAUUUGUAAAUUCACGUUUAAUGUGCCUCAUGUAAUCAGUACUUGAAGCUCCUCCGCAGUACAUUUUGAGAUUUUGAGUUAACAAAAAUCAUUAAGAAACAUUGACAGAUAUUUUAGUAAUAUUGAAGCUGAGCAUCAAUAUCAAUGAUGCCAAUAUUCCUUCUCAUUCAGGUAUGCAUGCAUAGAUUGUGGUAUCUCAGUGACAAGAAGAACAAAGUAUCCAUUUCUUCAGUAUGUAGUUAUUUGCAGCUUCCUGGAAUUGGAGUUUACAGUGCUUUCUGCUUACAAAAGGCAUUUCAGAAGUCAUGCACAAAGACCAAUUCCAUUCACUGUGAUUUGCAUUAUGUGUUUCUUUGAGCUCCAGAAAAGAGUUGAAAUAGUAGUGAAAUGAAAUCUGGAUAGAGUUAUUGAGGAUCGUAUUUGUUUCAUGGAAUGUGGCAAUCAGGUGUUAAUAUGUGGUAUUUUUCCUUGUAUCUGUACCUUAGCUAUUACAUCAGAGAGUAUAAAAGAGCAUGUGUUAUCAGUUGUUCCAAAGGGAGGUAUCCUGUGGAAUACCAUCUGAAUGCAUUCUCAGUAGAUAGGCAAAAAAAAAAAAAAAAGUCUGCUAAUCUGUAUGUUGUGCAUUCAGAUUAACUUCUCAUUGUACCAGUAACUGAAUUCAAUAUAAAAACAUCUAAACUGUUAAUGGCAUAAUUAUUAGAGAAAAAAGUCAAAUAACUUUUCAUGUAAAUCCAAAUUAUCUUAAAGACAUACACACACAUGCAAAAUACUGAAAAAUGACUUUAUUCUAUAAAGGAAACUCUUCAUAAUUCAAAUAGAAAUAUGCAAUUUUUUGGGUUGGAAGAGACCCAAAGAGGUCAUCUAGUAGGCACCCCUCUAUCACAGACAGAACAUUGAUCAGGCUGCCCAAAGCAACACAAUUUUGCCCUGAGCACUUCCAGAGGUCAAGCAUCCACAGUUUCUCUGGACAAUUUGUUUGAGUUCCUCUCCACCUCCCCCAGAACAACAAUAUCACAGUGUUUCUUCUCACAUUAUGGCAAAGAACAAGAACAGAAAAAUCAAAUACAGAGAUCUUAGAAAAGGAAAGAAUAACCUUUUCUUCUAAGACUGAAGUAAGCAGGUAAAAUCCAUUUUUUAAAAAUUUAUUUAUUUUUGAAACCAAAUACAGGCAAAAUUGUGCUUUACAAUCUUGCUUCUACCAUAUGUUUUUAAUAAAUAAUAUCAGCUCAUUUUAAUUCCCCCUGCUACUUACUGGGAAGCAUUUUGUCAUAAUAAGUUUUGUUUAAAUCAUGCAUUAUAUGGCAGUCCUGAUGCUUAUCUUUCUCUCUGAUGGCUUCUCUUUUGUUUCCUCCCUGUUUCCUCCAUGUCAUCUGUCUCUCCUGCUUCAAGUGUGAAUUAAUUUCUGUUGACAUCUGGGGUUUGAAGUCUGAAGAAAAGAAAGUGGUGUGCAGAAAUCUGUGAGAGGUGACAGACGUGACAUUGUAUUUCUUCCUGUGUCUUCUGUGACUUUUGUCGAGAUUCUGUUUGAUAUAGCCUGUGUUCACUGGGAAAUGUGUCAGAGUACUGAGCUCACCAGGAGCCUCUCACAGACCUUUUGACAUGAGGGUCCUGAUCAGCUCCCCAGCUGGCUCACCAUGCUGAUGCUAAGCAGGGGGAUGAAAAUCAUCAGAAUGGAUUUCUUUUUUAUUCUGAGAACCAGGAUGUCUUCUCAGGGAAGUAUGGAUCUUUCCUUCCAAUACUUGGUAUACAUUCAUUUAUCUUGGAAAGGUAAUUGCUCCUCAGUGUUUCACAUCUCAAAGCAAUCAUUUGCUACUAGCACUUGAUAAUGAUUUGUUGAAAAAAAAAUGUUAAAAGCAUUCCAUCUUUGCAUUGUCCUUGUGAGCUGGAUGACAUAUUGAUCAGAAAGGAUCACUUGAAUUUCAGGGGUUAGAUUCAGGAUCACCUUGGGUUAAGCUGAGUUGGGUAUCUGCAGACUCUUGAAAUAGUUAUUGAACUGCAACUGACAGCCAGAAAAUUUAAUUCAAACAAACACAAUUUUCUUGUUGGUGUGAAAUGGUGAUUUAUAUUUGGUCAGGCUAUUUCUGGCAUAGGAUUCAAAAUUUCCAGAUAAGAUACAAGGCAAAUGGCUACAGAAUCAUGAAUUAACAAGUACAGUGAGUAUAGCUCCAUAGAUGAGUUGGGAUAAAUAAAUCUAAAGUUAAGGGUUGGCAAUAUACUAUUGCUGAGAUUUCCUUGUUUAUCUUUUUUGGAGAGGAGUGCAGAAGGGAGGGGGAGUUGGCAGAGGGGGUGGAGUUGGUCAAUAUCUGUAGUGUCCUAUCUUUUAGCUUUCUUGGACGAGAAACAGACUUUUCUUCUUAGUCAAACUGUAAAGAUUGCAAAUUUACCAAAUCACUUCUCUAGGGAGCAAAAAAAUAUUGUUUCUAUAUUGCUAAUAUGAUAGAAAAUAGCAGCAUGUUCUUCAGAGCCCAUAGUCUGUCUCAUCCUUAGUACUUAAGUUCUAACACGCAAACAUUAUUCUAUGUUAGUUGUUUCCUUAAAAACUAGGUAUCUCCAAAGUCUCUUUUUCUCGAAGACUAUUUUAAAAGUUUUCUGUUUUUCUAUAUCUUCCAU
Lagopus muta (rock ptarmigan) is the source of this 10684-nucleotide long non-coding RNA. RefSeq lists it as uncharacterized. The record is from RefSeq and is a predicted model, not a curated record. NCBI's taxonomy places the organism in Eukaryota, Metazoa, Chordata, Aves, Galliformes, Phasianidae. The transcript has 4 exons.